This 479-nucleotide ribosomal RNA is filed under the name uncultured organism. Its description in RNAcentral is "partial 16S ribosomal RNA". It matches the Rfam family "Bacterial small subunit ribosomal RNA", at positions 329 to 799 of the family's 1533-position model. The record is from RNAcentral.
ACGUACACUCCUGCGGGAGGCAGCAGUGGGGAAUUUUGGACAAUGGGCGAAAGCCUGAUCCAGCCAUGCCGCGUGCAGGAUGAAGGCCUUCGGGUUGUAAACUGCUUUUGUACGGAACGAAACGGCCUUUUCUAAUAAAGAGGGCUAAUGACGGUACCGUAAGAAUAAGCACCGGCUAACUACGUGCCAGCAGCCGCGGUAAUACGUAGGGUGCAAGCGUUAAUCGGAAUUACUGGGCGUAAAGCGUGCGCAGGCGGUUAUGUAAGACAGUUGUGAAAUCCCCGGGCUCAACCUGGGAACUGCAUCUGUGACUGCAUAGCUAGAGUACGGUAGAGGGGUAUGGAAUUCCGCGUGUAGCAGUGAAAUGCGUAGAUAUGCGGAGGAACACCGAUGGCGAAGGCAAUCCCCGGGACCUGUACUGACGCUCAUGCACGAAAGCGUGGGGAGCAAACAGGAUUAGAUACCCUAGUAGUCCCAUG